This 468-nucleotide ribosomal RNA is filed under the name uncultured bacterium. Its description in RNAcentral is "bacterial SSU rRNA". It matches the Rfam family "Bacterial small subunit ribosomal RNA", at positions 28 to 490 of the family's 1533-position model. The record is from RNAcentral.
GACGAACGCUGGCGGCGUGCUUAACACAUGCAAGUCGAACGGAACUCAUUGGAUCAAGACUUCGGUCAAGUGAAUUUGAGUUUAGUGGCGGACGGGUGAGUAACGCGUGAGGAACCUGCCUUUCAGAGGGGGACAACAGUUGGAAACGACUGCUAAUACCGCAUAACGCGUAGAGGUCGCAUGGCCUUUACGCCAAAGAUUUAUCGCUGAAAGAUGGCCUCGCGUCUGAUUAGCUAGUUGGUGAGGUAACGGCCCACCAAGGCGACGAUCAGUAGCCGGACUGAGAGGUUGACCGGCCACAUUGGGACUGAGAUACGGCCCAGACUCCUACGGGAGGCAGCAGUGGGGAAUAUUGGGGCAAUGGGCGCAAGCCUGACCCAGCAACGCCGCGUGAAGGAAGAAGGCCUUCGGGUUGGUAAACGUUACUUUUACCUAGGACGAAGAACGUGACGGUACCUGGAGAAAAAG